GCGGUACUGCGGCGAGUGAGCGGCAAAGCUCAAAUUUGAAAUCUGGUACCUUCGGUGCCCGAGUUGUAAUUUGGAGAGGGCAACUUUGGGGCCGUUCCUUGUCUAUGUUCCUUGGAACAGGACGUCAUAGAGGGUGAGAAUCCCGUGUGGCGAGGAGUGCGGUUCUUUGUAAAGUGCCUUCGAAGAGUCGAGUUGUUUGGGAAUGCAGCUCUAAGUGGGUGGUAAAUUCCAUCUAAAGCUAAAUAUUGGCGAGAGACCGAUAGCGAACAAGUACAGUGAUGGAAAGAUGAAAAGAACUUUGAAAAGAGAGUGAAAAAGUACGUGAAAUUGUUGAAAGGGAAGGGCAUUUGAUCAGACAUGGUGUUUUGUGCCCUCUGCUCCUUGUGGGUAGGGGAAUCUCGCAUUUCACUGGGCCAGCAUCAGUUUUGGUGGCAGGAUAAAUCCAUAGGAAUGUAGCUUGCCUCGGUAAGUAUUAUAGCCUGUGGGAAUACUGCCAGCUGGGACUGAGGACUGCGACGUAAGUCAAGGAUGCUGGCAUAAUGGUUAUAUGCCGCCCGUCUUA
RNAcentral lists this ribosomal RNA (562 nucleotides) under Saccharomyces cerevisiae (brewer's yeast). RNAcentral's name for it is "eukaryotic LSU rRNA". It matches the Rfam family "Eukaryotic large subunit ribosomal RNA", at positions 77 to 656 of the family's 3401-position model. Lineage: Eukaryota; Fungi; Ascomycota; Saccharomycetes; Saccharomycetales; Saccharomycetaceae. The record is from RNAcentral.